Molecule: ribosomal RNA, 157 nt
Filed under: Meloidogyne chitwoodi
Lineage: Eukaryota; Metazoa; Nematoda; Chromadorea; Rhabditida; Meloidogynidae
Description: 5.8S ribosomal RNA
Rfam family: 5.8S ribosomal RNA
About the family: 5.8S ribosomal RNA (5.8S rRNA) is a component of the large subunit of the eukaryotic ribosome. It is transcribed by RNA polymerase I as part of the 45S precursor that also contains 18S and 28S rRNA.
Source: RNAcentral
UUAGCCUUACCGGUGGAUCACUCGGUUCGUGGAUCGAUGAAGAACGCAGCUAACUGCGAUAAUUUAUGUGAACUGCAGAAAUCUUGAGCAUAAAAGUUUUGAACGCAUAUUGCGGCAUUGGGGUCAAGCCCUUUGGCACGUCUGGUUCAGGGUCAUU